UACGAAGGGGGCUAGCGUUGCUCGGAAUUACUGGGCGUAAAGCGCACGUAGGCGGAUUGUUAAGUCGGGGGUGAAAUCCUGGAGCUCAACUCCAGAACUGCCUUCGAAACUGGCGAUCUUGAGUCCGGGAGAGGUGAGUGGAACUGCGAGUGUAGAGGUGAAAUUCGUAGAUAUUCGCAAGAACACCAGUGGCGAAGGCGGCCAUCUGGCUCGGUACUGACGCUCAGGUUCGAAAGCGUGGGGAGCAAACAGG
RNAcentral lists this ribosomal RNA (253 nucleotides) under uncultured bacterium. RNAcentral describes it as "partial 16S ribosomal RNA". It matches the Rfam family "Bacterial small subunit ribosomal RNA", at positions 524 to 776 of the family's 1533-position model. The record is from RNAcentral.